ACGACGUGCGGCGUGCUAUACAUGCAAGUCGAGCGGACAGAUGGGAGCUUGCUCCCUGAUGUUAGCGGCGGACGGGUGAGUAACACGUGGGUAACCUGCCUGUAAGACUGGGAUAACUCCGGGAAACCGGGGCUAAUACCGGAUGGUUGUUUGAACCGCAUGGUUCAAACAUAAAAGGUGGCUUCGGCUACCACUUACAGAUGGACCCGCGGCGCAUUAGCUAGUUGGUGAGGUAACGGCUCACCAAGGCGACGAUGCGUAGCCGACCUGAGAGGGUGAUCGGCCACACUGGGACUGAGACACGGCCCAGACUCCUACGGGGGGGCAGCAGUAA
Molecule: ribosomal RNA, 334 nt
Filed under: Bacillus tequilensis
Lineage: Bacteria; Bacillati; Bacillota; Bacilli; Caryophanales; Bacillaceae
Description: bacterial SSU rRNA
Rfam family: Bacterial small subunit ribosomal RNA
Source: RNAcentral